AUGGCCGCCGCAGCAGGCGCGGCAUCCUCCCUUGUCCCCUCCACUUCCCAGCGCCGCCUCCCCUUCCGUCCCACCCCCACCCGCCAACCCCUCCUAGCCCCCAACAAGACCCUGACGCUCUCCCCGAAGCCACCCCGCCUCCUGCACCCCCUCGCCGCGUCCUCCUCCUCUCCGCCUCCGCCCGAGGAUGCGGAGCCAACCGACCCCGUCAAGCUCGCCUUCGCCCGCGCCGCCGCCUACAAGAAGGAGAGGGCUAAUCCGACGCCCAAGCCACCGCCACCGCCACCGUCGCCUCCCCCUCCGCCGCAGCCUUCCGCGAAGGAGUCCAGCGGCAGCAAGGAGGCCUUCGAGCGGGCGCUGGAGUACAGGAACGGCAGCGGGGGAGGACUGGACGGCGGCUCCCCGCUUCUCAAUCCGUCGCCGACUUUCGGCCAAAGCACGUUUACUAGUAAAGAGGGUGCAUUUGGCAAAGUGGCAAAGAAAAAGGGAGGGUAUGCGUACGAUGAGACGGACUUUUUGGGCCUCGGUUUCUUUGAGAAAAAACGUUAUCAAGGUCCACCACCAGGGCUGUCUCAAGGAAUUGAUCCUUUUUCAAAUGAAGAUUUUCCUGAGGUGGAGAUAGUAGUUGGCGACCCUAGUAAAUUUGGGAAGUCUCGUCGUUCAACUGAAAAUCAACCUGUGGAUGAUAGCGAGUCUGAGGAAACGUCACGUUCAAAAGACAGCAAACAAAAUGAAGAUAGCAAGCUUGAGGAAACACCACUUUCAACUGUUAUUGAACCUGAAGAUGAUGAAAAUUCAGAGUCCUACAAACCCAGGGUUACAACGUGGGGAAUGUUUCCACGGCCACAAAAUAUUUCAAAGGCGUAUGGUGGUGGAAGAAAUAUAAGCCUUGGUGGAGAGACUCAAAGUGCUGAAGAGAAAGCAGCUAAAGAUAAACGUACCAGAGAACUACUAGGUGCAUAUAUUGGUGGAAAAAACAAGACACUCGAUGCAAAAACAAAGGCAGAGUGCACCAAGGCAUUGAAGGAAGGUGACGAACUUAUGAAUGCUGGAAGGCUGAAACAAGCUUUGCCUUAUUAUGAAAAAGUGAUGCAGGCUGCGGACUUUAAGACCGAACUUCAUGGAAUGGCUGCUCUCCAGUGGUCCAUCUGUCUGGAUUCACUGUGCAGGUCCAAGGAAGCCAUGGGCAUGUAUAGCAAGCUGAAAUACCACCCAAACGACCGCGUCAGCAAGAAGGCAAAGAUGUUCAUGUUCAGCUUUCAGGCGGCGGACUUCCUGAAGGUCGACGGCGUGCCGGUGCCGCGCAACACGGGCUACGAGGGUUACUUCGACCAGUUUGGCGGGCAGAGGAACUACUACGCGAACCCGGACGAGCCCGAGGUGGGGAUCCGGGAGAUCAUCCCGUACAUGCUCUUUCUCGUCUCCCCGAUUUUCUUUGUCGCUUUUAUCGCUUUGAGAAAGUCUUUGAUGCUGUAA
RNAcentral lists this ribosomal RNA (1476 nucleotides) under Triticum aestivum (bread wheat). RNAcentral's name for it is "partial small subunit ribosomal RNA". Lineage: Eukaryota; Viridiplantae; Streptophyta; Magnoliopsida; Poales; Poaceae. The record is from RNAcentral.